UUGAUAAUGUAUCAUUGGAAGAACAUGUUAGAUAAGUCUAUCAUAAAGAGGACAACAUAAAUAACAAAUGUUGUGUUGUAUGAACAAAGGAACUUGAGAAGAUUAGCACAAAGACAUGGACACUUUUAGUGUCAUAAUUCUUCCAUUACAAAUUGUUGUAUGAAGAAAUAAGAGUUGCUUUGAACAACCCUUAGUCAAUGCAAACACUUAGUGCUUGUUUCUUUGUUAAAUGAACAAGGAACUUGAGAAGAAAGCACAAGGGCAUGGACACUUUAUGUGUCAUUAUUCUUCACUUACAAAUUGUUGUAUGAAAAAAUGAGAGUUGCCUUGAACAACUCUUGAAAGUUUGUAAUUAUGUUUAGAACAUAAUGGUUGG
RNAcentral lists this long non-coding RNA (376 nucleotides) under Malus domestica (apple). Its description in RNAcentral is "long non-coding RNA (MDOM_LNC000204)". The record is from RNAcentral. Lineage: Eukaryota; Viridiplantae; Streptophyta; Magnoliopsida; Rosales; Rosaceae.